This is a small nuclear RNA of Cavia aperea (Brazilian guinea pig), 103 nucleotides long. NCBI's taxonomy places the organism in Eukaryota, Metazoa, Chordata, Mammalia, Rodentia, Caviidae. The record is from Ensembl.
GUACUGCUACACAUAUAGUACAGCUACAGCUGAAAAACAGAGAAGAUUAACCUGGCCCUGGCACAAGAAUAACAGGAGAAUUUAUGAAGUGUCCUAUAUUUUA